GUGUGUGUGUGUGUGUGUGUGUGUGUGUGUGUUUGUUUUUAUUACAUGGUGGGGACCUCAGCAUGAUAGCACACUCACAAAGUGGGGACCAAAAACAUAGUGGGGACCGAUCGCCCGGUCCCCACUAUGUUUUGCCUUUAAAAGACUCAGGGGGCGUUGCUGAUAUGCCUAGUGCAGUUUUUUCACUGAUCCCCACCUUGACCAUUUACCUGAAUUGAGUGUGUAAGUGUGUGUCGGCGCACUGCUCUAUAGCGGUCCUGUAGUCGGAUGGCGGUACUGCACCCUGACACACACGACGCAAUUCACACACUCUGUCUACUGCACAUGCGCAAUCUCAUAAAUGAAUCCGACUUUAAUCAACUUAAUUAAGAUCUAUCAUCAAAUUAUUCGAAUUUUUGGUCAGAGGCCGGGGUGGAGUGCAUGAGCCGCGGUCAGACAGUCACCAAUCACCGGGCGGCUAAAUGGAUCGACGGAGGAUAAAACCAUUAAAAGAUGCGGAGAAACACAUCACCAGCUCCACUGACAAGACCCAUUCACUGGAAACCGAAUAUAUAGAAGGUUACUAAGUUUUGCAGCAUUGAUGCCGAUCAUGAGGACGAUCUGCACCCUAACUGCACUGUCAAUAAGAUCGUUGUUCAGAGAAAACCUCAUUUGUGCCUUUUUGCAAUCAGGGAUAUUUUCUUUGGAGAGGAAAUAACGUUUGACUAUGGCGCAUGUGAUUGGCCUUGGAGAAAGCUUUCAUUGAAGGAUGCCCAUAUGACUGCAGAAGACAACUCUCUGAUGAGCUUUCAUUGAAGUAUGAUCAUAUGACGAGAAGAAGAGAACUGCUCUGCUCCAGUAGGAGACCCACAACCCUCUGAUGAGGUUUGCUGAAGUAUGACCGUAUGACAGAAGGAGAGAACAGCUCUGCUCCAGUACGAGACCCACAACCCUCUGAUGAGCUUUUAUUGAAGGAUGG
Molecule: non-coding RNA, 958 nt
Organism: Danio rerio (zebrafish)
Lineage: Eukaryota; Metazoa; Chordata; Actinopteri; Cypriniformes; Danionidae
Source: RefSeq, a predicted model, not a curated record